Molecule: ribosomal RNA, 253 nt
Filed under: uncultured bacterium
Lineage: Bacteria
Description: partial 16S ribosomal RNA
Rfam family: Bacterial small subunit ribosomal RNA
Source: RNAcentral
UACGUAGGGUGCAAGCGUUAAUCGGAAUUACUGGGCGUAAAGCGUGCGCAGGCGGUUCUAUAAGACAGAUGUGAAAUCCCCGGGCUCAACCUGGGAACUGCAUUUGUGACUGUAGAGCUGGAGUGCGGCAGAGGGGGAUGGAAUUCCGCGUGUAGCAGUGAAAUGCGUAGAUAUGCGGAGGAACACCGAUGGCGAAGGCAAUCCCCUGGGCUAAGAUUGACGCUCAUGCACGAAAGCGUGGGGAGCAAACAGG